UUCCUUCACUCUUUUUUUUCCUUCCUUUUUGACGAAAUUAUAGAUUUUUUAUCAAUUCAUAAAUUUUAUUAAUGAUUGGAGGAAAACAUGUCUUUAUAGAAGAAUUAUACCAAAAAGUAGAAGACAUACAAAGUUAUAUAGACCUCUAGUAGUCUAGUGUUAGACAAAUUAUUGAAUACUGGAUUGACGACAAUUCUAAAUGGAGUGAUAUAGACAGUAAGGAUGUAUAACCCAAACAAGUUUGGAAUCGAGGCGUAGCUGUAGCCUGUAUUUUUUUUUUUUCCUUUUUUGGUGUCUUUGGUUCUUAUGGUAUAUAUUGUUCAUAUUGAAAGUUGUCGGACGAGUAUAAGAUUGAGCUGAAUUAUCAUGGACUUGUUGUUGGUUGAGAACUAGUAAUAACUAGAUUAAAUAUGUUAAGUUAGAAUUGAAUCAUCGAUUAUUGGAGAAUAGUUGAAUUGGCAUUUUAGUGGGUGUCAAUGUUUUGUAUAGCUGAACGACUUCUCUUGCUAAAUCUUUUUAAGUUAGUUUGAGUUGCUUGUAAGAAUCUUCUAGCUGGAUAGCAAAGUUUCUGGUUCUCAAGAUAUUAGCGCGACGUUUAGGGCCUUAAACUGCUUUUCCAAGAUGUCUAUAUACACGUCUUGACCUGUACCAGCAUUCAUUUUAGUUUGUUGAUUAAUAACAAAUAAUAUGCUUUUCGGUAGGGCUCGCUUUUGAGCUCCAUUGAAGUAGGUUCAAACUGAAAUCUAGUUGGGCUUGAGAACUGCACUUUCAUGUUGAGAUGUUCUUAUUCAACGGAAAGUACAAGUAACCAACUCUAUAACCGAAGCCAAGAGACAAGAAACUAACAACCAUAUAACCACAAGAAAUACAUUGGAAACUCCGUAUGCUUUAACUAUUUGUUGUUGCCCUUUGCUUGAACUUCCGUUCGAUGCUGACUUGUAUUAUGUUGGAAUUACUGUCAUCUUG
Non-coding RNA from Nicotiana tabacum (common tobacco), 966 nucleotides. The record is from RefSeq and is a predicted model, not a curated record. NCBI's taxonomy places the organism in Eukaryota, Viridiplantae, Streptophyta, Magnoliopsida, Solanales, Solanaceae.